ACGCCUUUUGCUUGCAUAGAUACGGCAGGUCCUUCGGCGCGAGUUUAAGCCACAUUGAACGACACUGUUUAGCAUCUCCCUAACUAUAUAUCAACAGAAGCAGUGGAGCAGAGUCUGUUUCAGCUGCUCUGUGCGCAGAACACGCCCUGAUUCAAAGAGAGAAAGAUGCCAUGAAUGCCCCCGACACCUACGAGCGAUUCGUCGUUCCAGAGGGUACUAAAAAGUAA
Molecule: unclassified non-coding RNA, 227 nt
Filed under: Hevea brasiliensis (rubber tree)
Lineage: Eukaryota; Viridiplantae; Streptophyta; Magnoliopsida; Malpighiales; Euphorbiaceae
Source: RNAcentral